RNAcentral lists this transfer RNA (73 nucleotides) under Bacteroidota bacterium. Its description in RNAcentral is "Bacteroidetes bacterium (activated sludge metagenome) tRNA-Ile". It matches the Rfam family "tRNA". From Rfam's summary of the family: Transfer RNA (tRNA) molecules are approximately 80 nucleotides in length. Their secondary structure includes four short double-helical elements and three loops (D, anti-codon, and T loops). Lineage: Bacteria; Pseudomonadati; Bacteroidota. The record is from RNAcentral.
UGUGAUAUAGCUUAACGGUGAAAGCAUUUGCCUUAUACGCAAAUAGAUGAAGGUUCAAGUCCUUCUAUCACAA